This 253-nucleotide ribosomal RNA is filed under the name uncultured bacterium. RNAcentral's name for it is "partial 16S ribosomal RNA". It matches the Rfam family "Bacterial small subunit ribosomal RNA", at positions 524 to 776 of the family's 1533-position model. The record is from RNAcentral.
UACGGAGUGUGCAAGCGUUACUCGGAAUCACUGGGCGUAAAGCGCACGUAGGCGGAUUGUUAAGUCAGGGGUGAAAUCCUGGAGCUCAACUCCAGAACUGCCUUUGAUACUGGCGAUCUUGAGUCCGGGAGAGGUGAGUGGAACUGCGAGUGUAGAGGUGAAAUUCGUAGAUAUUCGCAAGAACACCAGUGGCGAAGGCGGCUCACUGGCCCGGUACUGACGCUGAGGUGCGAAAGCGUGGGGAGCAAACAGG